UGGGGAAUAUUGCACAAUGGGCGCAAGCCUGAUGCAGCCAUGCCGCGUGUAUGAAGAAGGCCUUCGGGUUGUAAAGUACUUUCAGCGAGGAGGAAGGCGACAAGGUUAAUAACCUUGUCGAUUGACGUUACUCGCAGAAGAAGCACCGGCUAACUCCGUGCCAGCAGCCGCGGUAAUACGGAGGGUGCAAGCGUUAAUCGGAAUUACUGGGCGUAAAGCGCACGCAGGCGGUCUGUCAAGUCGGAUGUGAAAUCCCCGGGCCCAACCUGGGAACUGCAUCCGAAACUGGCAGGCUAGAGUCUUGUAGAGGGGGGUAGAAUUCCAGGUGUAGCGGUGAAAUGCGUUAGAGAUCUGGAGGAAUACCGGUGGCGAAGGCGGCCCCCUGGACAAAGACUGACGCUCAGGUGCGAAAAGCGUGGGGAGCAAACA
This 429-nucleotide ribosomal RNA is filed under the name uncultured Enterobacteriaceae bacterium. RNAcentral describes it as "bacterial SSU rRNA". It matches the Rfam family "Bacterial small subunit ribosomal RNA", at positions 355 to 774 of the family's 1533-position model. Lineage: Bacteria; Pseudomonadati; Pseudomonadota; Gammaproteobacteria; Enterobacterales; Enterobacteriaceae. The record is from RNAcentral.